This 69-nucleotide transfer RNA is filed under the name Sphaerodactylus townsendi. Its description in RNAcentral is "tRNA-Val". The record is from RNAcentral. Lineage: Eukaryota; Metazoa; Chordata; Lepidosauria; Squamata; Sphaerodactylidae.
GCCGUGGCUCAGUGGCAGAGUCUCCGCUUGACAAUCAGAAGGUCCCAGGUUCAAUCCCUAGCAUCUCCA